CCUAAGUUUAUAUUUUACAAUUAAAAAAGGAAAAAAUAUUUUCAACAGCAACAAUUAAAAGAAAAAAAAGAAGAUGCAGUUCCAAACCCAAUCACUGUGGCCGUGUAGAUUUGUUUGCGUAUGCUUAGGCAACAACUACAACAGAAUCAGAACAACACUUCCAAACAACAAGAGAAAGAUUUCGAAGGCACUGAGAGUCCGAGCAAUGCGAGCGGUGGUUCAGCGCGUGGACUCUGCAUCCGUCGAAGUCGAAGGCCGCACCGUAUCGGAAAUAGGUCCCGGCCUUCUCGUUCUCGUCGGAAUUCACGAUUCCGACUCCGAUGCCGACGCCGAUUACAUAUGUCGAAAGGUGUUGAACAUGAGGCUGUUUUCAAAUGAAGAUACUGCCAAAGCAUGGGAUCAUAGUGUCAUGCAGAAAAAUUAUCAAGUUUUACUUGUGAGUCAGUUUACUUUGUAUGGAUUCUUGAAGGGUAACAAGCCAGAUUUCCAUGUGGCAAUGGCGCCUCAAAGAGCCAAACCUUUCUAUGCCUCUUUAGUGGACAGGUUUAGGAAUGCUUAUAACGCUGAUGCAAUCAAAGAUGGCAUAUUUGGAGCUAAGAUGAAGGUAAGUUUGGUCAAUGAUGGACCAGUUACCAUGCAGCUUGAUUCACAGUCACCCAAAAAUACAGUUGAUGCAGCUGAAUCUUGAUUGGAGGUUGAUCUGACUUGAUGAGCAUGAAUUUGAAUUCUGACCAUUUUGUCAGCAAGACCAAAUAUUUUUCACACUGUAGGCCAAGAGCUAUAUGCAUUUCCUGCAAAGCUAAAACACGCCAUUAUGAUUAAAUGAUGUUCCAUAUCAAUUUCUGGAACAAACUGAGCUCUAAUAACCAACUUUAUGAUAAAAAAACCUAUAUGAUAGUGAGAACAAAAGAAAAGAGGCUAAGUUGUUUUCACUGAAGUUGAGGCAUCUUAACAGGUAAAUAGUUUUCAUAUCCCUUACAAGUUACAUCCCUAGAAUAUCAAGCCAAAAGCCCCAUUUAUUAACUUCUCCUUAAGAUAAGAAGUAGGGCUGGACAACAGGCGGUUUCAGAUUGUAAAUCAUCCAUUUGAAGAGAACCUCGUGUGGAAGAAUAUGUUAGACUUUUGAGUUUUGUAACUGAUAUUAAAUUAUUAGGAGAGUUAGUGGGUAAUUAUUUGUAUUAUUAUAUUAUUAAUUAAGAGUGUUUAGGUUUAUAAUAAAUAGAGGAAGACAUUGAGGGAGUUGAUUAUCUUCGAAUUGGAUAGGAAAAGGGGUCAUUUUGGCAUUGGGAGGUGCAGGCUCUCGAAGUUCUGCGAUACUAUUGUGUAAUUCAAAGAGAUUUUUCCUAUAUUCUUUUAUAUAACAAUUGGUUUCUAUCAACUGAUAUCAGAGCAGUUCUGAUCCAAGAAGUUUCUACCGUUGUGCUGUAAAUUUUGGCAUGAAUCUGACUGUAGAUUUGAUUCCAAGAUUUGAUGGAAGAGAGGCCUAUUGGUAGCUGAUCCAGGCAGAGCAAUAUUUUGGGUCAAGAAGAAUGAGUGAAGAGAUGAAGCUUGAGUGGGCUGUUGCAUUUGCAUUGAGAGGAGAUGCUCUUGAUUGGUGGAUUUCUUGGAAGGAGAGUCAUCCAAAUACUUGUUGGUGGAAUUUUGUAAAGGCCAUUCUCAAGAAAUUUCAACCAGAAGUUUGGGAUUGUCUAUUGGAGUCUGAAAACGAAUCACAGAAAAUCCAAGACAGCGAUGAAAUUCAAGAACCAAUAUCAUCUCCAACUGAAGAAAAGAUUGGUGGUAAAGUUGAAGACUCACAAAUCCAACAAUACAGUGAAAAAAAGUUUGUAAAGUGGAUAUCAAAUCUGAUUGCGUGGGCGUCGAAGUGAAAAAUACAGAUUCAUUGAAGGCUGCCAGUGAAGCAGAGGUCCAGAGAAGUGACGGAGAGUCGGCUUCUUCAUCACAGGCAAAAGACUCACUAUUGUCGGUGUUUGCUACUAUUCCUAAGAUGAAGUCUAGGAACAAGAAAUUUCCACCACCGGUGCCACUGUGGCCACAACAACUAGUCACGAAAGGACUGUCAUUAGCAAGAAAAUAUCCUAUUUCAUUUACAAAUUAUGGGAUCCGGGAGGAUACAUUUUUCCUACCGUGUAUUUCUUUCACCUUGAGGACAAGGUGAAUCUUUAGGGGGGAGUAUUGUUAUACUCUUGAGUUUUGUAACUGAUAUUAAAUUAUUAGGAGAGUUAGUGGGUAAUUAUUAGAAUUAUUAUAUUAUUAAUUAAGAGUGUUUAAGGUUAGAAUAAAAUAAGGGAAAACAGUAAGGGAGUUAGUCAUCUUCGAAUUGGAUAGGAAAAUGGACCAUUUUGGCAUUGGGAGGUGCAGACCCUCGAAGUUCUGCAGUACUAUUGUCUAAUUCAAAGGGAUUUUCCCUAUAUUCUUUUAUAUAACAGUUGGUUUCUAUCA
Lathyrus oleraceus (garden pea) is the source of this 2442-nucleotide RNA transcript. RefSeq lists it as uncharacterized. The record is from RefSeq and is a predicted model, not a curated record. The transcript is spliced from 7 exons. NCBI's taxonomy places the organism in Eukaryota, Viridiplantae, Streptophyta, Magnoliopsida, Fabales, Fabaceae.